This 40-nucleotide ribosomal RNA is filed under the name Gymnosporangium globosum. Its description in RNAcentral is "partial 28S ribosomal RNA". Lineage: Eukaryota; Fungi; Basidiomycota; Pucciniomycetes; Pucciniales; Gymnosporangiaceae. The record is from RNAcentral.
UCACUUGUGACCCAAGUGAAAAGAAAUACCCCUUAAGACC